GGCGUAGACCCGAAACCAGAUGAUCUAUCCAUGGCCAGGUUGAAGGUGUGGUAACACACACUGGAGGACCGAACCGACUAGUGUUGCAAAAUUAGCGGAUGAGCUGUGGAUAGGGGUGAAAGGCUAAACAAAUCUGGAGAUAGCUGGUUCUCCCCGAAAACUAUUGAGGUAGUGCCUCGUGUAUGACUCCAGGGGGUAGAGCACUGUUAUGGCUAGGGGGACAUGGCGUCUUACCAAACCAUGGCAAACUCCGAAUACUUGGAAGUUUGAGCACGGGAGACAGAGCACCGGGUGCUAACGUCCGGACUCAAGAGGGAAACAACCCAGACCGCCGGCUAAGGUCCCUAAUAUUGACUAAGUGGAAAACGAAGUGGAAAGGCUAAGACAGUCAGGAAGUUGGCUUAGAAGCAGCCAUCCUUCAAAGAAAGCGUAAUAGCUCACUGAUCGAGUCUUUCUGCGCGGAAGAUGUAACGGGGCUAAGUCAAUAACCGAAGCCGCGGAUUCACACUUGUGUGUGAGUGGUAGGGGAGCGUUCUGUAAGCCUGCGAAGGUGACUCGUAAGGGUUGCUGGAGGUAUCAGAAGUGCGAAUGCUGACAUGAGUAACGUUAAAGCGGGUGAAAAGCCCGCUCGCCGUAAGCCCAAGGUUUCCUGCUCUACGUUCAUCGGAGCAGGGUGAGUCGGCCCCUAAGGUGAGGCUGAGAAGCGUAACUGAUGGGAACAAGGUUAAUAUUCCUUGACCACCGCUGAAUGCGAAGGGGGGACGGAGUAUUGAAGAUCAUCCGGGUGUUGGAUAUCCCGGUUUGCGAGCGUAGGAGGCUGACAGGCAAAUCCGUCAGCGAAUCUCCGAGGCGAAGCAUCGAGCUCUCUUUUGAGCGAAGUGAUUGGAUGUGCUUCCAGGAAAAGCCUCUAAGCUCCAGUUCAGCGGGACCGUACCGCAAACCGACACUGGUGGGCGAGCUGAAUAUGCUCAGGCGCUUGAGAGAACUCAGGAGAAGGAACUCGGCAAAUUGACACCGUAACUUCGGGAUAAGGUGUGCCUUUGUAGCGUGGAGGGAGAAACACCCCGAGCGCGAAGAGGUCUCAGAUAAUCGGUGGCUGCGACUGUUUAUUAAAAACACAGCACUCUGCAAAGACGAAAGUCGACGUAUAGGGUGUGAUGCCUGCCCGGUGCUGGAAGAUUAAUUGAUGGGGUGCAAGCUCCUGAUCGAAGUCCCAGUAAACGGCGGCCGUAACUAUAACGGUCCUAAGGUAGCGAAAUUCCUUGUCGGGUAAGUUCCGACCUGCACGAAUGGCGUAAUGAUGGCCAGGCUGUCUCCACCCGAGACUCAGUGAAAUUGAACUCGCUGUGAAGAUGCAGUGUACCCGCGGCAAGACGGAAAGACCCCGUGAACCUUUACUAUAGCUUGACACUGAACACUGGUCCUUGAUGUGUAGGAUAGGUGGGAGGCUUUGAAGCGUGGACGCCAGUCUGCGUGGAGCCAACCUUGAAAUACCACCCUUUAAUGGCUGGUGUUCUAACGUAGACCCGUGAUCCGGGUUGCGGACAGUGUCUGGUGGGUAGUUUGACUGGGGCGGUCUCCUCCCAAAGAGUAACGGAGGAGCACGAAGGUUAGCUAAUCCUGGUCGGACAUCAGGAGGUUAGUGCAAUGGCAUAAGCUAGCUUGACUGCGAGAGUGACGGCUCGAGCAGGUGCGAAAGCAGGUCAUAGUGAUCCGGUGGUUCUGAAUGGAAGGGCCAUCGCUCAACGGAUAAAAGGUACUCCGGGGAUAACAGGCUGAUACCGCCCAAGAGUUCAUAUCGACGGCGGUGUUUGGCACCUCGAUGUCGGCUCAUCUCAUCCUGGGGCUGUAGCCGGUCCCAAGGGUAUGGCUGUUCGCCAUUUAAAGAGGUACGUGAGCUGGGUUUAAAACGUCGUGAGACAGUUUUGUCCCUAUCUGCCGUGGGCGCUGGAAGAUUGACGGGGGCUGCUCCUAGUACGAGAGGACCGGAGUGGACUCACCUCUGGUGUACCGGUUGUCACGCCAGUGGCAUCGCCGGGUAGCUAUGUGGGGAAGAGAUAACCGCUGAAAGCAUCUAAGCGGGAAACUUGCCUGAAGAUAAGUCUUCCUGGAGGCUAGACCUCCCUAAAGAGUCGUUCGAGACCAGGACGUUGAUAGGAUGGGUGUGUAAGUGCUGUGAGGCACUCAGCUAACCAUUACUAAUUGCUCGUGAAGCUUGAUCC
This 2222-nucleotide ribosomal RNA is filed under the name metagenome. RNAcentral describes it as "bacterial LSU rRNA". It matches the Rfam family "Bacterial large subunit ribosomal RNA", at positions 706 to 2925 of the family's 2925-position model. The record is from RNAcentral.